This 423-nucleotide ribosomal RNA is filed under the name Gulella cf. baccata 'Ukaguru'. Its description in RNAcentral is "partial 16S ribosomal RNA". The record is from RNAcentral. Lineage: Eukaryota; Metazoa; Mollusca; Gastropoda; Stylommatophora; Streptaxidae.
AGUUUCAUGAAUAAAUAUGAAAUAAUUUCUGCCCAAUGAUUUAUUUAAUGGCCGCAGUACCCUGACUGUGCUAAGGUAGCAUAAUAAAUUGGCUUUUAAAUGAGGUCUAGAAUGAAUGGGAAUUUAGGUAAAAAUUGUCUCAAAUUAAUUAAACUUAACUUUUUUAAUUAGGUGAAAAGACCUAAAAUAAUAAGAAAGACGAGAAGACCCUUAGAAUUUUAAAAAGUUUAAGAAUUUUUUUUUGUUGGGGUGACAUAUUAAAAUAAUAAACUUAUUUUUUAACAAAGCAGUUAUUUACAAGAAAGAAAAAAUUACCUUAGGGAUAACAGCAUAAUUUUUUUUAACGAUUAUGACCUCGAUGUUGGACUAGGAACUUAAUAGUUAGAAAUUAAAAUAGAUAGUUCUGUUCGAACUAGUUUUCCU